ACCAGUGUUGCAUGGCUGUCGUCAGCUCGUGUCGUGAGAUGUUGGGUUAAGUCCCGCAACGAGCGCAACCCUCAUCCUUAGUUGCCAUCAGGUAAUGCUGAGUACUUUAAGGAAACUGCCAGUGAUAAGCUGGAGGAAGGUGGGGAUGAUGUCAAGUCAUCAUGGCCUUUAUGGAGUGGGCUACACACGUGCUACAAUGGUGUCUACAAUGGGCUGC
This 217-nucleotide ribosomal RNA is filed under the name Wolbachia endosymbiont of Anopheles arabiensis. RNAcentral's name for it is "partial 16S ribosomal RNA". It matches the Rfam family "Bacterial small subunit ribosomal RNA", at positions 1034 to 1250 of the family's 1533-position model. Lineage: Bacteria; Pseudomonadati; Pseudomonadota; Alphaproteobacteria; Rickettsiales; Anaplasmataceae. The record is from RNAcentral.